Molecule: ribosomal RNA, 460 nt
Filed under: Lachnoanaerobaculum saburreum
Lineage: Bacteria; Bacillati; Bacillota; Clostridia; Lachnospirales; Lachnospiraceae
Description: bacterial SSU rRNA
Rfam family: Bacterial small subunit ribosomal RNA
Source: RNAcentral
GAUGAACGCUGGCGGCGUGCUUAACGCAUGCAAGUCGAACGAAGCUGUUAAAAGGAAGUCUUCGGAUGGAAAUUUAACAGACUUAGUGGCGGACGGGUGAGUAACGCGUGGAUAACCUGCCUUAUACAGGGGGAUAACGGAGAGAAAUUUCCGCUAAGACCGCAUAAGACCACAGCACCGCAUGGUGCAGGGGUAAAAUAUUAAUAGGUAUAAGAUGGAUCCGCGUCCGAUUAGCUUGUUGGUGAGGUAGAGGCUCACCAAGGCGACGAUCGGUAGCCGGCCUGAGAGGGUGAACGGCCACAUUGGGACUGAGACACGGCCCAAACUCCUACGGGAGGCAGCAGUGGGGAAUAUUGGACAAUGGGGGAAACCCUGAUCCAGCGACGCCGCGUGAGUGAAGAAGUAUUUCGGUAUGUAAAGCUCUAUCAGCAGGGAAGAAAAUGACGGUACCUGACUAAGA